CCCGCCCCCAGCCCACCUCCAACUGACAGAGCAGCAGUUGCAGUUUAGAAUUUUCAGUUGUCAGUGCCCAAAAUCUUUCUCAUUGAUAAUAGCAUUUUAUUUUAUUAUUUAAUCAUAACAUCGAUUUAAAAUAUGUUUUUAAACUAGCGGGUCUAACUGCCUAAAAGAAAGAGUUUUCACCGAGCUAGCUAACACAGCUAGUUAGCUAGCUAGCUCCUUUAGCUUGUCCACACAACAUGCAGUGUGACUGACCAAGGCAAGAAAUUCUUUGGUUAGUUAAUAUGUCAUGUAGCUACAGUACAGGUAUGUGUUAGAUGUAAUCUAAUUGCCAAAGCUAGCUAGUUAAUGUUAAAUGUUGCUUCCCAAGCAAUGCAUUGCUUGCUAGCUAGCUAGGUUUGUAGUGAGGGCUGGGUUUCUCUGACAGCAAUAUAGUUAGAACUGGCUAGUUAGCUACAUUAUUUCACGCUAAAAAUACAAAUCUUUCUGGUCUGGAGCCUCAACAGCUAAUAUAAGUUAGUAUGUUGUAUCAUUUAGCUAGUUAGCUCCUGAACAUUAACCCCUUAUUCUUCAUCUUGUGUGGAAUUGAUUUACUGACUCUAUGUCUAUGCAUUAUCCACGGGGUAAUUGCAAUUUGUGUGUCUGACGAUGGACAUCGGAGCUUAAGGAAUCUACAUGGGCAGUUGUCAACUUGUGAGCCUGUAAAUGGACACUGGAGGUUAAGGAAUCUGCAUUGACAGCAGUUGUCUAUAUCUUGCCAGAGCCACUCGUGCUCCCUUUGUGCAUAUGGAGCCAGGGACACACUGCCCGACCGGGGUAUUGGUCCCAGUAUGAGAUAAGGACUGGGCAGGGCCUCAGUGCCUGGGCAGAGGAUCAGUCAUUGGGCUUGAUGAUAGCUGGUGGCCAGGGAUUCCCUGGGUGGACUCUACCUACUAGACCCAGUUGUCUCUGACCCCUACUGGACUGUGUGAGCUGCCUGGAUGGGUGUCUGACCCAAAUAAAAGGGGCCUAUGCCCUAGAAACCGAGGCUGGUGUUUUUAAUGUGCAGUGUUGUGUGGAAAUGAACUAUUGUCUUAUACACUGAGAAAUGAAUUAUCUGUAUAUUAUCACAUACACUAUAUGGCCAAAAGUAUGUGAACACCCCUUCAAAUGACUGGAUUUGGCUAUUUCAUCCACAUCCGUUGCUGACAGGUUUAUACAGUUGAGCACGCAGCCAUGCAAUCUCCAUAGUCAUACAUUGGUAGUAAAAUGGCCCGAAGUGAAAAUAACUCAGUGACUUUCAAUGUGGCACUGUCAUAGGAUGCCACCUUUUCAACAAGUGAGUUGUUCUGCUAAGCUAGAGCUGCCCCGGUCAACUGUAAGUGCUGUUAUUGGGAAGUGGAAACGU
This 1384-nucleotide long non-coding RNA is filed under the name Salmo salar (Atlantic salmon). Its description in RNAcentral is "lncRNA (ENSSSAG00000100720.1)". Lineage: Eukaryota; Metazoa; Chordata; Actinopteri; Salmoniformes; Salmonidae. The record is from RNAcentral.